This 460-nucleotide ribosomal RNA is filed under the name uncultured bacterium. RNAcentral's name for it is "partial 16S ribosomal RNA". It matches the Rfam family "Bacterial small subunit ribosomal RNA", at positions 338 to 795 of the family's 1533-position model. The record is from RNAcentral.
CCUACGGGAGGCAGCAGUGAGGAAUAUUGGUCAAUGGACGAGAGUCUGAACCAGCCAAGUAGCGUGAGGGAUGAAGGUUCUAUGGAUCGUAAACCUCUUUUAUAAGGGAAUAAAGUGUGGGACGUGUCCUCUUUUGUAUGUACCUUAUGAAUAAGGAUCGGCUAACUCCGUGCCAGCAGCCGCGGUAAUACGGAGGAUCCGAGCGUUAUCCGGAUUUCUUGGGUUUAAAGGGUGCGUAGGCGGCCUUUUAAGUCAGCGGGGAAAGUCUGUGGCUCAACCAUAGAAUUGCCGUUGAAACUGGGGGGCUUGAGUAUGUGUGAGGCAGGCGGAAUGCGUGGUGUAGCGGUGAAAUGCUUAGAUAUCACGCAGAACCCCGAUUGCGAAGGCAGCCUGCCAAGCCAUGACUGACGCUGAUGCACGAAAGCGUGGGGAUCAAACAGGAUUAGAUACCCUUGUAGUC